CCACAGACAAAUAAUGUGAACCAGGGAAAUAAUAUAAAAAUGAUUAGAAAAAUAUAUCUUGAUACAAAACGAACAAUCAGGUGUUUGCAUGGCAGGCCUGGGACUCUCAGGGAGCCUUCUUUCCAGCACCAUGGACCUCUCUCUGCUCAUUGUUGAGUGUUCCUGAGUAUAUUGUUUAUAUGUAUCUUGUCAGACUCAUCAAGGUCUGACUUGCAUCUGAAACGUUGUUGGUUUAGGAUACACUGGACUAGGAGGUCACCAGGAUCAAGUUCCUCCUGAUGGUGAACAAGCAGGGCCAGACCUGCCUUUCAGGGUGCCCCUUUUAUGGACUUCAAACUAGUAUAUCGACAGUAUGCUGCUCUCUUCAUAGUUGUUGGUAUCAGUGACACUGAGAAUGAGCUCACAACUUUGAGGUUCUUGACAAGUACUUCAGUCAUGUGAGUGAAUUGGAUGUAUCCUUUACAAAUGAUACGUUUUGUUAUUAACCAGUUUGAGGAAAUUCAUUGAAACAGAUGCUGGGGUUGUCUGCGUGUCCACCCCUCACAUUAGGGGCUUGUCAUGUGGCUAGCCGACUGUGCCAUUCCAGGCCUGGCAUUUAUUGCGGCACUGCACAGACUGAUGAAGACAACUGUCAUUGUCUGAGUCUUUUUCUCAGUGGGCAGUCAGACUUGCCAGGGUCAGACCAGUCAUAAGAAGUGUAAUGCAACUACAGUCGGUUGUUUUUUUAAAAAGUUGUUCAACCUGGUGAGACAUGUUAAUGCAGAGGUUAAAUUCUAUGACUGAAACUUAAAGUCAAUUCAUCCUUUUACAGAAAGACAAUCACUUUGUACAUGUAUUAAACUGUGAGUUUGACAUUUUCAAUGUUUAAUUAUUUUUCAAAGAAUCCAUGACUGAAACAAUGUCACAGUGAACUUUGACCCCUCUGUUGAGUAGCCAGGGUUAACAAUAAAAAAAUGUCUUACUAAUGGAAAGG
This is a long non-coding RNA of Salvelinus sp. IW2-2015, 973 nucleotides long. RefSeq lists it as uncharacterized. NCBI's taxonomy places the organism in Eukaryota, Metazoa, Chordata, Actinopteri, Salmoniformes, Salmonidae. The record is from RefSeq and is a predicted model, not a curated record.